CGGGGCGUGGCGCAGUCCGGUAGCGCACCGGUUUUGGGAACCGGGGGUCGGCGGUUCAAAUCCGCCCGCCCCGACCA
RNAcentral lists this transfer RNA (77 nucleotides) under Bacillota bacterium. Its description in RNAcentral is "tRNA-Pro". It matches the Rfam family "tRNA". From Rfam's summary of the family: Transfer RNA (tRNA) molecules are approximately 80 nucleotides in length. Their secondary structure includes four short double-helical elements and three loops (D, anti-codon, and T loops). The record is from RNAcentral. Lineage: Bacteria; Bacillati; Bacillota.